GUUAAGAGGACGUGAAACCGUGCAGAAGUAACUUGGUGGAAGGGCAAUGUCGCCUGCAGGAUUCAGCCGUCCGUCUCUUUGUUUACAUGUUCGCCAACCAUUUAGCGAUGGAGUGCUGCUGUAGGCUGUGAGAUGGUCGGUGCACUUUCUGUGGGUGAGCGCAAAGAUCGCUUGGUGCGUCGACAAAAGUCUUGAUGCAGUCGCCUCAGGUUAAUUCUUGGGAGCGUACAUUAAGUUACCCGUCGAAUGUGCCGAGUGAGAUCACACUCUGACCGCAUGUCUCUUGACUAGCGUUAUCAUGGGAGAUUGAACUGUUGGUGCUUCUGCUGUAACAGGUGGAACGCUACGACCCUCUUCUGUGAACGGCGUUGGUGUGAGAGAUGUCAGACAUGAUCGUUUGCGUCCGAGUCCCGCUCCCACCUAUAUCGUCUUGAAACACGAGCCGAGAAGUCUAACAGAUGCGCAAGUCAAUGGGCUAUCAACAAACCCCAAAGGCGCAAUGAAAGUAAAGCCGUGGCCUUGUGCUCGGCGAGCUGAGAUCCGCAGUCCGCUGCGGCGCAUCAGCGUCCCGUCUUAAGAACCCUUCGGGGCUUCUGAGGCGGAGAUAGAGCGUAUCUGUUAGGACCCGAAAGAUGGUGAACUAUGCCUGUGUAGACUGAAGCCAGAAGAAAUUCUGGUGGAAGGUCGUAGCGUUUUUGACGUGCAAAUCAAUCGUCAAACAUGGCAUA
RNAcentral lists this ribosomal RNA (728 nucleotides) under Tripyloides cf. marinus ZZ-2021. RNAcentral describes it as "partial large subunit ribosomal RNA". It matches the Rfam family "Eukaryotic large subunit ribosomal RNA", at positions 386 to 919 of the family's 3401-position model. The record is from RNAcentral. Lineage: Eukaryota; Metazoa; Nematoda; Enoplea; Enoplida; Tripyloididae.